UACGUAGGGUGCAAGCGUUACUCGGAAUUACUGGGCGUAAAGCGUGCGUAGGUGGUUCGUUAAGUCUGAUGUGAAAGCCCUGGGCUCAACCUGGGAAUGGCAUUGGAAACUGGCGAUCUAGAGUGCGGUAGAGGGUAGUGGAAUUCCCGGUGUAGCAGUGAAAUGCGUAGAGAUCGGGAGGAACAUCUGUGGCGAAGGCGACUGCCUGGACCAGCACUGACACUGAGGCACGAAAGCGUGGGGAGCAAACAGG
RNAcentral lists this ribosomal RNA (253 nucleotides) under uncultured bacterium. Its description in RNAcentral is "partial 16S ribosomal RNA". It matches the Rfam family "Bacterial small subunit ribosomal RNA", at positions 524 to 776 of the family's 1533-position model. The record is from RNAcentral.